ACAGAAGACUCUCCAUAUAU
RNAcentral lists this small nuclear RNA (20 nucleotides) under Arabidopsis thaliana (thale cress). RNAcentral's name for it is "snRNA_02610". The record is from RNAcentral. Lineage: Eukaryota; Viridiplantae; Streptophyta; Magnoliopsida; Brassicales; Brassicaceae.